This 764-nucleotide long non-coding RNA is filed under the name Pan troglodytes (chimpanzee). RNAcentral describes it as "long non-coding RNA NONPTRT015373". The record is from RNAcentral. Lineage: Eukaryota; Metazoa; Chordata; Mammalia; Primates; Hominidae.
AUUCAUAAUUAUUCUGGAAUUUCAUUUCACAUAGAAUGCAUAUAAUAACAUUAAAUAUAAACACAUGUUUAUUUCACACAGUGGUAUAUCAUUUAAUCAGAGGAUCUAAAUAAGGAGAGGUAGGAGAAAAUGUCUUGUUAGACCAAGGCAGGUAAGUUUGCCCAGCAUUGACAAUGGGGAGAAAUCAGUGCCAGUUCAGUAUCUACCCUGCUCCCCGGCCCAGCCUGGCCAGCAAGCACGGCUUAACUAUUCAGUUUGUGUUCAUCGAUUACUUUCAAAUAUGGUAUUUUAUUAUUUGAUUCUAAUUAAGAUAGCACUAAUUUUAUCACAAUAACUUAAUUGUGGAAAAAAAAGAUGAACAUUUACUUUGGGUUCGUAGUCUCCUAAAUCAGCUGUGUACAUGAUCAUGGGAAUGCAUGCUGGGACACUAUGAUGAGGCCAGGUGAGCGCACACUGGGACACUAUUAUGAGGCCAGGUGAGCGCACACUGGGGCGCUAUGAUGAGGCUAGGUGAGUGCACACAGGGACACUAUGAUGAGACUAGGUGAGCGCACACUGGGACACUAUGAUGAGGCUAGGUGAGCGCACACUGGGGCACUAUCAUGAGGCUAGGUGAGCGCAGACUGGGGCACUAUGAUGAGGCUAGGUGAGCGCACACUGGGACACUAUGAUGAGGCCAGGUGAGCGCACACUGGGGCACUAUGAUGAAGCCAGGUGAGUGCACACUGGGGCACUAUGAUGAGGCUGGGUGAGUGCACACUGGG